RNAcentral lists this ribosomal RNA (505 nucleotides) under uncultured Glomus. RNAcentral describes it as "SSU rRNA". It matches the Rfam family "Eukaryotic small subunit ribosomal RNA", at positions 569 to 1077 of the family's 1831-position model. Lineage: Eukaryota; Fungi; Glomeromycota; Glomeromycetes; Glomerales; Glomeraceae. The record is from RNAcentral.
AGCAGCCGCGGUAAUUCCAGCUCCAAUAGCGUAUAUUAAAGUUGUUGCAGUUAAAAAGCUCGUAGUUGAAUUUCGGGGUUAGUAGGUUGGUCAUGCCUCUGGUAUGUACUGGUCUCACUGAUUCCUCCUUCCUGAUGAACCUUAAUGCCAUUAAUUUGGCGUUUUGGGGAAUUUGGACUGUUACUUUGAAAAAUUAGAGUGUUUAAAGCAAGCUAACGCUUGAAUACAUUAGCAUGGAAUAAUGAAAUAGGACGUUCGAUCCUAUUUUGUUGGUUUCUAGGAUUGGCGUAAUGAUUAAUAGGGAUAGUUGGGGGCAUUAGUAUUCAAUUGUCAGAGGUGAAAUUCUUGGAUUUAUUGAAGACUAACUACUGCGAAAGCAUUUGCCAAGGAUGUUUUCAUUAAUCAAGAACGAAAGUUAGGGGAUCGAAGACGAUCAGAUACCGUCGUAGUCUUAACCAUAAACUAUGCCGACUAGGGAUCGGAUGAUGUUAAUUUUUAAUGACUC